UCUCUCGCUAUAUUUUUCGAUCUCAUCACAAAAGAGUGUGCGUCGUUACCAUCUGUCUGAUAGAAGUAUAAUUUGAAGUGCGUUGAUUACUUUGGUUUGUGUUUGCCAAUGUUGUUUAGCAUAACGCAUCAUCAAACUCAUAUGUGAAUGCUACAGAAUCAAUGUGAAAUUUCUACUAGCAACACAGUAAAAUUGAACUUUAUUCAUACAAAAGUUUCUGGUUUCAUCUAUUUUGCUUGUGUCACAAUUUGGACGAUAUAACUGCUUGGUUUUUCAAUCCAGGGGAAGUGUGUGUGAUUUUUUUAAAUCUGUGAUGCGAGAAUGCCUCAAUUCACCAGGACAAUUACUGCGGAGCGCACUCAUUCGUAAAUGAAGAUGAUGUCGAUGAUAAAAUCGAGAACCAUUCAUGGAAAUAAAUAAAAUGUUUUGUGAACAAUGCACGUUCAGAUAUAACAUUUCGAUGUCGCCUUGCUCUCAUUUUUUUUCUCCGUAAAUAUAUCGGUCUCGACUCGAACAAUAUGACACUUAAUGUUUGCUUUUUGUGGACUAUUGUCGUUAGAACAAUAAUUUAAUGUGUUUUGCUUGCAAAUUUGUCACAUACACUUACCACACACAUAUAUUGUGAAUUAGAUCGAAUAGGUAAACAAUGUGUCGCAUUUCGAUUUCGCUUCGAGAGACAAUGACGACAUUUUUUCAUAUCAUAUUACGCGUUCUAAUGUUAAUCUUAUACCAAGUGCUCUUUUAUCUAUGAUUCAGUUCAUGCUGCCCCAUGUACAACUUGAAACUUCCUUUCAGCAGCUUCAAAAGGUAACUUCCAAGCGCCCGCAAAGCGCUAUAGCAUGAUAAGAUGAUAAAUGGACAAAUAAAAAGUUUACACUUGAAGACAUGGCAAAAAGGAGCAAUAAAAAUAUUGAGAGCAAAUACAUAAAAUUUUACGCGAAGAACAAUAUAUAUGAAAAAAAUGUUGAGUGCAUCAACGCUUUUAAUCCGAAUAAUUAGGGAAAGAGAAUCCUAUUCUAACACGAUUCUGCCAUUAAAUCAUUUUUCGGACACUUAUAGUAAACAAAGUAUGUGAGUAAAGCAGAGCCAAGAGACAAACGAGAAGAAAAAACCAAUCCGCAAUGUUGGUUUUAUUGAGCCGCAAAAUGGAAAAAUAUUGGUUUAUCGGCAACCGCAAGAUAUGUGCUUGUUGUUCAAACUUAUUUCAAAGCAAUUUGUUGUUAUAAAUACUCGCUGUGAAUGCUGUAAAUGAAAAAGGAACGAAAAAACCGCCACCACAUAAACUGUGAGAGUAUCGAAAGAAUAAGCUUAAAUGGGUCGAAAAGGUGUGAUGUAGCUUCUACAUUUCUCAUGAUUUUAUUGCACGUAUAAAUGAUAGUGGCCGCAUUCGGAGGGAGGAUGGUGAAAAACCACCAAAUGUAAUAUGUUUGCAGAUAGAAAAUGGAUUUGCUUAUCUGCAAAUCGCGGUCUUGUGUCUACCAUUCGCUGCGGUGAAAAUAUCAUCAUGUGUGUGUAUGCAUGUGGUUGAAAUAAAUAGCAUACACCACACGCAGUUCAAGAGAAAAUUCUACAAAAUUCGUUGUGAUAAGACAUACUCUGUGCUUAUGUCGAUUUCGUAGUCAAACGACCUGUCAAAGCCUCAGCUGUGUACACAUCCAUAGAAGGGGGCACGUAAAUAAUAACAAAGAGAGCGAGAACACAGGCAAAGAAGUGUUGGUAAGCAUAAAAUUCUGCAUUCAAUAGCCAGACAUAAAACCAAAAAUACACUAUUCAGCGAAUAAAGUAAAGUGUUUUAUUACAUCUUUCGAUUGAAAAC
Molecule: long non-coding RNA, 1816 nt
Organism: Contarinia nasturtii (swede midge)
Lineage: Eukaryota; Metazoa; Arthropoda; Insecta; Diptera; Cecidomyiidae
Exons: 3
Source: RefSeq, a predicted model, not a curated record